RNAcentral lists this ribosomal RNA (418 nucleotides) under uncultured bacterium. RNAcentral's name for it is "bacterial SSU rRNA". It matches the Rfam family "Bacterial small subunit ribosomal RNA", at positions 355 to 787 of the family's 1533-position model. The record is from RNAcentral.
UGGGGAAUAUUGGGCAAUGGGCGCAAGCCUGACCCAGCAACGCCGCGUGAAGGAAGAAGGCUUUCGGGUUGUAAACUUCUUUUAUCAGGGACGAAGCAAGUGACGGUACCUGAUGAAUAAGCCACGGCUAACUACGUGCCAACAGCCGCGGUAAUACGUAGGUGGCAAGCGUUAUCCGGAUUUACUGGGUGUAAAGGGCGUGUAGGCGGGACUGCAAGUCAGAUGUGAAAAUUAUGGGCUCAACCCAUAACCUGCAUUUGAAACUGUAGUUCUUGAGUGAUGGAGAGGCAGGCGGAAUUCCGUGUGUAGCGGUGAAAUGCGUAGAUAUACGGAGGAACACCAGUGGCGAAGGCGGAUUGCUGGACAGUAACUGACGCUGAGGCGCGAAAGCGUGGGGAGCAAACAGGAUUAGAUACCC